Molecule: long non-coding RNA, 6497 nt
Filed under: Sus scrofa (pig)
Lineage: Eukaryota; Metazoa; Chordata; Mammalia; Artiodactyla; Suidae
Description: lncRNA (ENSSSCG00015066881.1)
Source: RNAcentral
UUUUUUUUUUCUUUUUUGGUAACUAUACUUAUCUUCCAGGGAAGUGUCCUUCACCCAAUCCACAGGGGUGGGCAUGCCACCAGGGCCCAGACAGUCAUAGUGCCCAAGCUGGGGGGCAGGGGUGUUUGCUGUGACAGCAAAUGCAAGGACAUGAAAUGCUUGGGACAGGGAGGCAUCAUAAAAAAACCCACCUUCCAUGGUCACAAAAUUGAGGUAUAAUUAAAAAGUUUAGCUCCAUGAAAAGAUGAACCAGCCGCUGGUGUCUGAGGCAUGGGAAAGAGCCGAGGCCCGCAGGGGUACAGGCGAGAAAUAAAGCAGUAAGGUGGGUCCUGCCUGUUACCACCCAACUCACUCAGGCAACACCUCCUCAGAACCACCAGGUAGGGGGAAGGCAGGGCCACCAGGGCACCAAAGGAAGAAGAGGAGGAACUGGAGGUUCCUGUGCCCCUGUCCAUAGGGCUGAGUCCAGAGACAUUGUGCUGGUGAGAGAGCCGAGCCACCUACAAGGGUUUUGAAGGGGCCUGGGUGAUGAGAGCCCUGGAUAGAGUCACAGUGACUAGGCUUGUCUGGAUGAGAACAGUUUUUUUGUUGUUGUUGUUGUUUUGUUUUUGUUUUUUGCCAUUUCUUAGGCUGCUCCUGCAGCAUAUGGAGGUUCCCAGGCCAAGGGUGAGUCCCUGAAGAGCAAAGAAAGAAAGACAGAGAGGGAGAGAGAGAAAGAAAGAAGGAAAGAAAGAAAGGAAGGAAGGAAGGAAGGAAGGACCAAAGAAAGAAAAAGAAAGAAAGAAAUUAGGCCAAUUAAUAACCCUAUGAUGGCCUCUAAGUAUUUAAGUGAAAGGGAGAGUUACAGGUCUCUAACUUUUUGUUUUUUGUUUGUUUGUUUUGUCUUUUUGCCUUUUCUAGGGCUGCUCCUGCGGCAUAUGGAGGUUCCCAAGCUAGGGGUCCAAUCGGAGCUGUAGCCACCGGCCUACGCCACAGCCACAGCAACGCAAGAUCCGAGCCGCGUCUGCGACCUACACCUACACCAUAGCUCACGGCAACGCUGGAUCCUUAACCCACUAAGCAAGGGCAGGGAUCGAACCUGCAACCUCAUGGUUCCUAGUUGGAUUCGUUAACCACUGCGCCAUAACGGGAAUUCCUGGUCUCUCACUUUUAAUUAGAAUGAUUUAGAAAUCACUUAGAAAUGGUUGAGCUUAGCGAGGAAAGCGUGUUGAAAGCCAAGACAGGCCGAAAGCUGGGCCUCUUGUGCCUAAGUAAGGCAAGGUGUAAAUGCAAAGGCAAAUUUCUUGAAGGAAAGGUAAAGGGCGGCUCCCCUGGAGCCAAGAAUGACAAGAAAGCGAAACGGCCCUCUUGCCUAAGAGCCAAGGAAGGGUCCAGAAGCAGAGACUGGAUGUUUAGGAAUAAAUCUCUGUAGCUGACUCAAGAGAGAGAGACAUGAGAUCCUUGGAUAUUCCUUUUAUUUAUCGGUGGUAGGAAGUACACUUCUUUUGUAGAUAAUAAAAAAGGGAGGCUCAGAGAAGUUCGGGAACCUGCUUAAGAUCCCUCAUCCAAUGAGUCCAAGCCAAAAACACUUCCAGCCUCAAAGGCCACUUUGUUUCCGCUCUACUACAUACCCAUUCACUGGAAAAGCUGUGUCAUCUGAUGGUCAGGAGCACACAGUUUGGAACCAGACCGCCUCAACCUCCUCAUCUUGAAAGUAAGGAUAAUGUCCUCACCUCAGAACACUAUUAUGAAGAUUACACUGUUGGUAAGUGCAGGAGUUCCCGCUGUGGCUCAGCAGGUUAAGGACCUUAUGUUGUCUCUAUGAGGAUGCAGGUUUGAUGCCUGGCCUCACUCACUGGGUUAAGGAUCCAGAGGUGCCACAAGCUGCGGUGUAACUCACAGAUGUGGCUCAGCUCCCACUAUUGCUAUGCUGUGGCGCAGGCCGGCAGCUGCAGCUCCAGGAUGACCCCUAGCCUGGGAAUUUCCAUAUGCUGCAGGUGCGGCCAUGAAAGGAAAAAAGGGAAAAAAUAUUAAGUGUGAAACAAAUGUCAACUGGAAGCAGUGGUGGUGGCAGCAGCAGUAGGCUGGGUUUUACUUUGUGCCUUUGUGUGUAACAGGAAGAGAGGGGUAGGUGGGGGUUAGGGUUGUGGAUUUCACUGCAAGUGAGUUUAAUAUAUCAUUUAUUUAACCAAAAUGGGGCACCUGGUGGGAAAAAGACUUUGUUGGGUGCCAGGUGCAAAGCCUGAGCUCCCUUGACCAAGCCUGUCUUUCCCCAAGGGUGGAUGGGGGAUGACAGAAUGACAUGCUGAGUGGGGCCCUUCGGCUUCUGCUGAAGCCAGAGACUCUCCACUGAGAGGGGGAUCCCCCAACUUGGGGAGUCCAGGAAAGCUAACAAGAGCUACCACCAUAUGUGGCACCUGUGGCCCUGAAAAGCAAAAAAAAAAAAAAAAAAGAAAGAAAAGAAUUGCUAGGCUUAAAGGCAGGAUGCUGGUAGUUUGGCCUCCCGGAAGGCCUGUCUUCAACUACCCCACGAAAAGAGCUGUUUUUAUAUCUUUACAAAGAAGACCACGCGUUCCCCCCCCGCCCGGAACCCAUUCCUCCAUCCCACAACACACACAGUCUAGCAAUUCUUUCUUUUCUUUUUGCCUUUUUGUCUUUUUAGGGCCACACCCGCAGCAUAUGGAGGUUCCCAGGCAAGGGGUUGAAUCAGAGCUGCAGCUGCCAGCCUACGCCACAGCCACAGCAACACAGGAUCCGAACCGCUUCUGUGACCUACACCACAGUUCACAGCAGUGCCAGAUCCUUAACCCACUGAGCCAGGCCAGGGAUUGAACCCGCGUCCUCAAGGAUGCUAGUCAGGUUUGUUAACCGCUGAGCCACGACAGGAACUCCUAGCGAUUCUUUCUCACAUCAAAUCCACAUCCCUCCUGCUGCAAGGAAACUACUACCCUUUUCUUGUCAGUCCUUGUCUGAAACAGAGGACAGCUGUUCUCACUUGCGCAAAGCUCUUGAGGACUAACUGAUCAAGAGGCUGGGGGUGGAGGGUAAAGGAAGAACUGUCUGACCUUGGUUCUGGAUAAGCCCUCAGGGAAAAUGCUUCUCUUCUUCCAGGACCCUAAUGAGCUAAACAGAAGGACAUUCAAGUGGCAGCUCCUAGACUUCACUCCUGGACUUGGAGUGUUACUGUUCAGACUGUUUCUUCACUUAAAAGUGAGUUUUGUGACACAAAAGGAAGGACAGGUAAAGCCAAGAUAUGAACUGGCUGUUUUCUGUAACCUACCGAAACAAGAACGGCACGUGACAUGCCUUUAAAAUCUGUGGAUUUGUUCCAAGGGACGAGUAUGGGUUGAUAAACUGAACAGAGGUUGUCAUCUGAGUGUCUUAGGGGACCUAGCUCAAGUGUCAUGUUCCUGUUUGUUUGGGGCUGUGAGGUUUGUGUUCACAGCUUCAUGGUUAUUCCCAGCACUUAAGGAGAAAAAAACGACCCUACCUGUUCAGUGACUAAUGGGUGGAAAAGAAGUCUGCAAUCCAUCCGGCAGAGUGGCUCAUUCUUUCCCCUCCUGCCCCGAUGCCAUGCUAUUUAGUUAUGAGUGUGUCUUUCCCGUUUUCCCCAUUGGGAUUGCUACAUUCUUGCUGUUGUCUUGGGCAGAUUACCAAAAUGGAGUUUAUGAUUCAUUGACCCAAAUUAUGUUCCCACUGACAAUAUCUGCAGAAAUUCGGUUCAACAAUGGCUUGCUGAGUUUACUGAAAACAUACAUCGCUCCCUGGAAUUCACCCACCCCAAUCAGGCCAACAGAAGAGCAAAUUAAAUCUUAUCUCCUUGGAUGUCCUUGAGGAAGAACAUCCUGGUCUUGGCAGUUCACUGCAUAUUUACAAAAAGCUACGAGAAAGCAAGAUCGUGAACAGGUCUUCUGUGAAUUGCAGUUAAAUCCCUAGGCCUAUGUGAAAGACCUCUCGGUAUGGACAACAACCUAUUUUCCUAAAUCACAACCCUGGGAUGAAGGUCCCAUGCUCGUUUUUUUGUGUGUGUGCGCGAGAAGCACGGGUAGGCAUUUUUCCCAGCAAGCAGGUGAAGUGCGUAGCAACCAGGCUCUAUCUUUGAUUUCUCUUGCCCAUGAUCCGAGGGAGGAAGCAAAGUAAUAUAAAAGUUAAGAAAGCAAACAUAUAUUGCUUUCCUGGAUAGAUCAACUUCUCCCAUAGUGAUUUUUGCCUUUGUACACUUUGUCUUUGAAUGACAUAAAGUAAAAGGUAAAAUCCUAGUUCAUUAGUUUAUAACCUGUUGAGCAGAGGUGGGUGGAAUCCUUGCAAAGCAAAAUAGAAGCAUGAGGAUGGAGCGGGCAUACUCUGUCCUGUCUUUCCCACUGAAUUCAGUUAUAAAAACUGGAAAGAAUUCAUGAAGCAGCUAUUUAAGGACUGUGAAAAAUAAAUGAUAGCAGGUAGAUUGGGAAAGAAGACCAGAAUUUGAAGUACCACAGAACCAGCACUGAGUUCCCUCCUCCCACUUUUUUCCCCUUGGUGUCCCUUGGCUGGACUCAAAGCAGCCUAAAAACUGAAAGUGAGAAUGAGACAUGAGUAGAGAGUUCCAGGCGAAGCCCUCCACUUCUAGCUCAACAAGCAGAAAGGAAACUCCUAAUGCUUAGCAGGAGUGGAGAAAAUGGUCCAUUUUUCUUUUCUCUGUUUUAUGGUCCCCUAGUCCCCAGACAAUCCUGAGGAGGUGGGGACAUCCCAGAAGUGGGAUCCAUGGCACUAAAACCAUGAGAAAAGGGAAACUCCCACUCUGAUUUGAGGAGCUGUGGUCUCCGGGCAGUGGGCUAUUUCUCUCUGUUCUGCUGCCACUUGGCCCCAGAUGUAGAUGCGCUCACGGAAGUAGGCGGCAGAGCAAGGGAACUAGAGCCCCAGCUCUCAGAUUAAGGGAAUGAAAAAUGGAGCCUCGGGGAGCCAGAAAGUACGGGGGAGUUUGUGGGUAGGGAGGAUCUUGGGACAUUGUUGAUGAAUUCCUGAGCUUAUCCACAAGCUUCGCAUGCAUGAACCUGACUCUAAACAACAUACUACAGACUUUGAAGACUGAACUAUGGGAGAGACCACAGCCCGCAUCCAAGGCUGGCCACAGGGUCAUUACAUGAGGGGCAGAUCAGAGUCGCAUUGCAAAGGCUUUAAAAACUGAAUUGACAUUGGAACCACUCACACAGAAGUAUAUAGCUGGAACAUAUAGCUGGAAAAACCCAGCUUAGCUGCCUACUAAACCAAAAGCAUCAGCAAUCUCCAUGGGAUUUAAACAAGACCCAGAGUCUCAUAACAUAAUAUUGAAAGUAUCCAAAAUAUAAUUAAAAAUUUCAAGGCAUACAAUGAACCAAAAACAUUUCAACUUGCAUAGGAAGAGCUAGUCAACAGAUGUCAACAGUAAGAUGAUACAGAUGUUGGAAUAAUCAAAGACUUUAAAGCAACUAUUAUAAGAUUCCUCGAGGAAGUAAGGUAGAACGUUCUUGACUGAAAUAGAAUGGUAGAAAGUCUCAGUAAAGAAAUAGAAUUAUUUAAAAAAAGAAAAGAACAAAAUGGUAAUUUUAGAAUUAGAUAAUACAGUAACUAAACUUCUAAGAAUACAUGGGCAUUCUCGUCAUGGCUCAGAGGAAACAAAUCUGACUAGUAUCCAUGAUGAUGCAGGUUUGAUCCCUGGCCCCGCUCAGCGGGUCUGGGAUCUGAUGAUGCCGAGAGCUGUAGUGUAGGUCACAGACUCGGCUUGGAUCUUUCGAUGCUCUGGCUGUGGCAUAGGCCAGCAGCUGUAACUCGAUUUGACCUGGGAACUUCUAUAUGCCACAGGUGUGGCCCUAAAAAGCAAAAUAAAAUAAAAUAAAAAAAUACAUGGAUGGAUGUAAAUCAACUAUAAUAAAUUUUUUAAAUAAACAAGAAAAGAUAUUAAAAUAUAUGGAUGGGUCCAUUUUAUUUAUUAUAUUUAAAAACGGCAGAAUGGAGAUGCUAGAGGAAAGAAUCAAUGAACUUGAAAAUAAAUCAAUAGAAAUCAUCUAAUCUCAACAACAGUAAAGAAAAAAAUUGAAAACAAACAAAAAAGAGGAGUACCUCAGGGACAUAUGGGACAUUGCCAAAGUCAUUGGACAUUUUUAGGUCUAAUAUUGAUGUCAUUGGCAUCUUAGAAAGAGAACAGAAAGAAUGCAGUGCAGAAAAAUUAUUAGAGGAAAUAACGACUUGAACUUUCCAUAUUUUGUGAAAGACAUAUUUUUUUAAUGGCUGCGCUCAUGGUAUUUGGAAGUUUCUGGGUCAGGGAUUGAAUCCAACCCUCAGCUGUGGCAACGCUGGAUCCUUUAACCCACUGCGUCAGGCCAGGGAGUGAACCUGCACCUCUGCAGCCAUCUGAGCCACUGCAGUCGGAUUCUUAACCCACUGCACCACAGUGGGAACCCCCAAAGAUAUUAAUAUUUAGAUUCAAGCCGUUCAGCGAACUUGCAAAAGCAGAAAUCCAAAGACAUCCAUAUCAAGAGACACUAUAAUUAAAUUGUUGAAAA